RNAcentral lists this ribosomal RNA (253 nucleotides) under uncultured bacterium. Its description in RNAcentral is "partial 16S ribosomal RNA". It matches the Rfam family "Bacterial small subunit ribosomal RNA", at positions 524 to 776 of the family's 1533-position model. The record is from RNAcentral.
UACAGAGGGUGCGAGCGUUAAUCGGAAUUACUGGGCGUAAAGCGCACGUAGGUGGCGACGUAAGUCGGGCGUGAAAGCCCCGGGCUCAACCUGGGAAUUGCAUUCGAGACUGCAUUGCUGGAGUACGGAAGAGGAAGGCGGAAUUCCCGGUGUAGCGGUGAAAUGCGUAGAUAUCGGGAGGAACAUCAGUGGCGAAGGCGGCCUUCUGGUCCGGUACUGACACUCAAGUGCGAAAGCGUGGGGAGCAAACAGG